RNAcentral lists this ribosomal RNA (253 nucleotides) under uncultured bacterium. Its description in RNAcentral is "partial 16S ribosomal RNA". It matches the Rfam family "Bacterial small subunit ribosomal RNA", at positions 524 to 776 of the family's 1533-position model. The record is from RNAcentral.
UCCGGAGGGGGCUAGCGUUGUUCGGAAUUACUGGGCGUAAAGCGCGCGUAGGCGGACCUGCAAGUCGGGGGUGAAAGCCCGAGGCUCAACCUCGGAACUGCCUUCGAUACUGCGGGUCUCGAGUCCGGGAGAGGUGAGUGGAAUUCCUAGUGUAGAGGUGAAAUUCGUAGAUAUUAGGAAGAACACCAGUGGCGAAGGCGGCUCACUGGCCCGGUACUGACGCUGAGGCGCGAAAGCGUGGGGAGGAAACAGG